Molecule: non-coding RNA, 94 nt
Organism: Acanthosepion pharaonis
Lineage: Eukaryota; Metazoa; Mollusca; Cephalopoda; Sepiida; Sepiidae
Source: the annotation of a GenBank genome assembly
CGUUGAAACACCGGUUCCCGUACGAUCACCGAAGUUAAGCAUGGUCGAGACUGGUCAUUACCUAGAUGGGUGACCGCUUGGGAACACCACAUGC